This 253-nucleotide ribosomal RNA is filed under the name uncultured bacterium. RNAcentral's name for it is "partial 16S ribosomal RNA". It matches the Rfam family "Bacterial small subunit ribosomal RNA", at positions 524 to 776 of the family's 1533-position model. The record is from RNAcentral.
UACGUAGGGUGCGAGCGUUAAUCGGAAUUACUGGGCGUAAAGCGUGCGCAGGCGGUUUUGUAAGCCAGAUGUGAAAUCCCCGGGCUUAACCUGGGAAUUGCAUUUCAAACUGGCCGACUAGAGUACGGUAGAGGGAGGUAGAAUUUCCUGUGUAGCGGUGAAAUGCGUAGAUAUAGGAAGGAAUACCAGUGGCGAAGGCGGCCUCCUGGAUCGAUACUGACGCUGAGGCGCGAAAGCGUGGGGAGCAAACAGG